UAAAGAAAGCGUAAUAGCUCACUGGUCGAGUCGGCCUGCGCGGAAGAUGUAACGGGGCUAAACCAUGCACCGAAGCUGCGGCAGCGACACUAUGUGUUGUUGGGUAGGGGAGCGUUCUGUAAGCCUGCGAAGGUGUGCUGUGAGGUAUGCUGGAGGUAUCAGAAGUGCGAAUGCUGACAUAAGUAACGAUAAAGCGGGUGAAAAGCCCGCUCGCCGGAAGACCAAGGGUUCCUGUCCAACGUUAAUCGGGGCAGGGUGAGUCGA
This 264-nucleotide ribosomal RNA is filed under the name Escherichia coli. RNAcentral describes it as "partial 23S ribosomal RNA". It matches the Rfam family "Bacterial large subunit ribosomal RNA", at positions 1124 to 1387 of the family's 2925-position model. Lineage: Bacteria; Pseudomonadati; Pseudomonadota; Gammaproteobacteria; Enterobacterales; Enterobacteriaceae. The record is from RNAcentral.